This 420-nucleotide ribosomal RNA is filed under the name uncultured bacterium. RNAcentral describes it as "bacterial SSU rRNA". It matches the Rfam family "Bacterial small subunit ribosomal RNA", at positions 359 to 776 of the family's 1533-position model. The record is from RNAcentral.
GAAUAUUGGACAAUGGGCGGAAGCCUGAUCCAGCCAUCCCGCGUGCCGGAUGAAGGCCCUAUGGGUUGUAAUCGGCUUUAGCCUGGGAAGAAAGGUGCGGCAUUAGCUGCAUUUGACGGUACCAGGACAAUAAGCACCGGCUAACUCCGUUCCAGCAGCCGCGGUAAUACGGAGGGUGCGAGCGUUAUCCGGAAUCACUGGGUUUAAAGGGUGCGUAGGCGGCCAAGUAAGUCAGGGGUGAAAUACUACGGCUCAACCGUAGAAUGGCCUUUGAUACUGCGUGGCUUGAAUGGAGUUGAGGUCGGCGGAAUGUGGCAUGUAGCGGUGAAAUGCAUAGAUAUGCCAUAGAACACCAAUUGCGAAGGCAGCCGGCUAGACUUCAAUUGACGCUGAGGCACGAAAGCGUGGGGAGCGAACAGG